This 71-nucleotide transfer RNA is filed under the name Phrynosoma platyrhinos (Desert horned lizard). RNAcentral describes it as "tRNA-OTHER". It matches the Rfam family "tRNA". From Rfam's summary of the family: Transfer RNA (tRNA) molecules are approximately 80 nucleotides in length. Their secondary structure includes four short double-helical elements and three loops (D, anti-codon, and T loops). The record is from RNAcentral. Lineage: Eukaryota; Metazoa; Chordata; Lepidosauria; Squamata; Phrynosomatidae.
GCCAGCAUGGCUUAGUGGUUUGAGUGUUGGACUGUGACUCUGGAGACCAGGGUUCGAUUCUCUGUUUGGCC